GAUGAACGCUGGCGGCGUGCCUAAUACAUGCAAGUCGAGCGAACAGACGAGGAGCUUGCUCCUCUGACGUUAGCGGCGGACGGGUGAGUAACACGUGGAUAACCUACCUAUAAGACUGGGAUAACUUCGGGAAACCGGAGCUAAUACCGGAUAAUAUAUUGAACCGCAUGGUUCAAUAGUGAAAGACGGUUUUGCUGUCACUUAUAGAUGGAUCCGCGCCGCAUUAGCUAGUUGGUAAGGUAACGGCUUACCAAGGCGACGAUGCGUAGCCGACCUGAGAGGAUGAUCGGCAACACUGGAACUGAGACACGGUCCAGACUCCUACGGGAGGCAGCAGUAGGGAAUCUUCCGCAAUGGGCGAAAGCUUGACGGAGCAACGCCGCGUGAGUGAUGAAGGUCUUCGGAUCGUAAAACUCUGUUAUUAGGGAAGAACAAAUGUGUAAGUAACUAUGCACGUCUUGACGGUACCUAAUCAGAAAGCCACGGCUAACUACGUG
RNAcentral lists this ribosomal RNA (497 nucleotides) under uncultured bacterium. Its description in RNAcentral is "partial 16S ribosomal RNA". It matches the Rfam family "Bacterial small subunit ribosomal RNA", at positions 28 to 507 of the family's 1533-position model. The record is from RNAcentral.